UUACGGCCACAUCACGCUGAAACACCGGUCUCCGUAUGAUCCCCGAAGUUAAGCAACGUCGAGCUUAGUAAGUACCUGGGUGAGUGACCGUUUUGGAGUACCAGGUGUUGUAA
Acanthosepion pharaonis is the source of this 113-nucleotide non-coding RNA. The record is from the annotation of a GenBank genome assembly. NCBI's taxonomy places the organism in Eukaryota, Metazoa, Mollusca, Cephalopoda, Sepiida, Sepiidae.